GAUGAACGCUGGCGGCGUGCCUAAUACAUGCAAGUCGAGCGAACGGACGAGAAGCUUGCUUCUCUGAUGUUAGCGGCGGACGGGUGAGUAACACGUGGAUAACCUACCUAUAAGACUGGGAUAACUUCGGGAAACCGGAGCUAAUACCGGAUAAUAUUUUGAACCGCAUGGUUCAAAAGUGAAAGACGGCCUUGCUGUCACUUAUAGAUGGAUCCGCGCUGCAUUAGCUAGUUGGUAAGGUAACGGCUUACCAAGGCAACGAUGCAUAGCCGACCUGAGAGGGUGAUCGGCCACACUGGAACUGAGACACGGUCCAGACUCCUACGGGAGGCAGCAGUAGGGAAUCUUCCGCAAUGGGCGAAAGCCUGACGGAGCAACGCCGCGUGAGUGAUGAAGGUCUUCGGAUCGUAAAACUCUGUUAUUAGGGAAGAACAUAUGUGUAAGUAACUGUGCACAUCUUGACGGUACCUAAUCAGAAAGCCACGGCUAACUACGUGCCAGCAGCCGCGGUAAUACGUAGGUGGCAAGCGUUAUCCGGAAUUAUUGGGCGUAAAGCGCGCGUAGGCGGUUUUUUAAGUCUGAUGUGAAAGCCCACGGCUCAACCGUGGAGGGUCAUUGGAAACUGGAAAACUUGAGUGCAGAAGAGGAAAGUGGAAUUCCAUGUGUAGCGGUGAAAUGCGCAGAGAUAUGGAGGAACACCAGUGGCGAAGGCGACUUUCUGGUCUGUAACUGACGCUGAUGUGCGAAAGCGUGGGGAUCAAACAGGAUUAGAUACCCUGGUAGUCCACGCCGUAAACGAUGAGUGCUAAGUGUUAGGGGGUUUCCGCCCCUUAGUGCUGCAGCUAACGCAUUAAGCACUCCGCCUGGGGAGUACGACCGCAAGGUUGAAACUCAAAGGAAUUGACGGGGACCCGCACAAGCGGUGGAGCAUGUGGUUUAAUUCGAAGCAACGCGAAGAGCCUUACCAAAUCUUGACAUCCUUUGACAACUCUAGAGAUAGAGCCUUCCCCUUCGGGGGACAAAGUGACAGGUGGUGCAUGGUUGUCGUCAGCUCGUGUCGUGAGAUGUUGGGUUAAGUCCCGCAACGAGCGCAACCCUUAAGCUUAGUUGCCAUCAUUAAGUUGGGCACUCUAAGUUGACUGCCGGUGACAAACCGGAGGAAGGUGGGGAUGACGUCAAAUCAUCAUGCCCCUUAUGAUUUGGGCUACACACGUGCUACAAUGGACAAUACAAAGGGCAGCGAAACCGCGAGGUCAAGCAAAUCCCAUAAAGUUGUUCUCAGUUCGGAUUGUAGUCUGCAACUCGACUACAUGAAGCUGGAAUCGCUAGUAAUCGUAGAUCAGCAUGCUACGGUGAAUACGUUCCCGGGUCU
This 1372-nucleotide ribosomal RNA is filed under the name uncultured bacterium. RNAcentral's name for it is "bacterial SSU rRNA". It matches the Rfam family "Bacterial small subunit ribosomal RNA", at positions 28 to 1381 of the family's 1533-position model. The record is from RNAcentral.